UUUGCUGACGAGCGGCGGACGGGUGAGUAAUGCCUGGGAAUAUGCCUUGAUGUGGGGGAUAACCAUUGGAAACGAUGGCUAAUACCGCAUAAUGCCUACGGGCCAAAGAGGGGGAUCUUCGGACCUCUCGCGUCAAGAUUAGCCCAGGUGGGAUUAGCUAGUUGGUGAGGUAAUGGCUCACCAAGGCGACGAUCCCUAGCUGGUCUGAGAGGAUGAUCAGCCACACUGGAACUGAGACACGGUCCAGACUCCUACGGGAGGCAGCAGUGGGGAAUAUUGCACAAUGGGCGCAAGCCUGAUGCAGCCAUGCCGCGUGUGUGAAGAAGGCCUUCGGGUUGUAAAGCACUUUCAGUCGUGAGGAAGGUAGUUGCGUUAAUAGCGUAAUUAUUUGACGUUAGCGACAGAAGAAGCACCGGCUAACUCCGUGCCAGCAGCCGCGGUAAUACGGAGGGUGCGAGCGUUAAUCGGAAUUACUGGGCGUAAAGCGCAUGCAGGUGGUUCAUUAAGUCAGAUGUGAAAGCCCGGGGCUCAACCUCGGAACCGCAUUUGAAACUGGUGAACUAGAGUGCUGUAGAGGGGGGUAGAAUUUCAGGUGUAGCGGUGAAAUGCGUAGAGAUCUGAAGGAAUACCGGUGGCGAAGGCGGCCCCCUGGACAGAUACUGACACUCAGAUGCGAAAGCGUGGGGAGCAAACAGGAUUAGAUACCCUGGUAGUCCACGCCGUAAACGAUGUCUACUUGGAGGUUGUGGCCUUGAGCCGUGGCUUUCGGAGCUAACGCGUUAAGUAGACCGCCUGGGGAGUACGGUCGCAAGAUUAAAACUCAAAUGAAUUGACGGGGGCCCGCACAAGCGGUGGAGCAUGUGGUUUAAUUCGAUGCAACGCGAAGAACCUUACCUACUCUUGACAUCCAGAGAAGCCAGCGGAGACGCA
Molecule: ribosomal RNA, 930 nt
Filed under: uncultured Vibrio sp.
Lineage: Bacteria; Pseudomonadati; Pseudomonadota; Gammaproteobacteria; Vibrionales; Vibrionaceae
Description: bacterial SSU rRNA
Rfam family: Bacterial small subunit ribosomal RNA
Source: RNAcentral